CCGGCCUUAGCUCAGUUGGUAGUAGCGGCAGACUGUAGCAGCGCCUUUAUUGAGAUCAAUGGCGCCACAGGCAUCUGUAGGUCCCCGGUUCAACUCCGGGAGGCCGGA
This is a non-coding RNA of Quaeritorhiza haematococci, 108 nucleotides long. The record is from the annotation of a GenBank genome assembly. Lineage: Eukaryota; Fungi; Chytridiomycota; Chytridiomycetes; Quaeritorhizaceae.